Molecule: long non-coding RNA, 328 nt
Organism: Tupaia belangeri chinensis (Chinese tree shrew)
Lineage: Eukaryota; Metazoa; Chordata; Mammalia; Scandentia; Tupaiidae
Exons: 2
Source: RefSeq, a predicted model, not a curated record
GCGCGGCCGCAAAGGCUUCGGAGCGCUGGAGAGAAGGGAAGCAGUGGCCGCUUUCUGCGCGCUCCCGACUCUGCUCGCUCCCUUUCCUCUGGGAGGUGGGGGCUGGGAGGCAUCCCCCGCCCCUGCCUCCUCCCCACCAUGAGCGGAAGGACGAACUGGCAAGAGGUCUGUUUUGCCUGAACCCAUCAACAGCUGGGAUAUUGAUCAACCACAUGGAAAAUGCACAGGGAUUUAUGGAUUUAUGGAGGAGGAGGGGAUCAGAAUGUAGAUGUUUAAAACAAAUGUGUAUAAAUAAAUGAAUUGUUGGUAACUUAGUUAUUGACCUGAA